RNAcentral lists this long non-coding RNA (252 nucleotides) under Lathyrus oleraceus (garden pea). RNAcentral's name for it is "Pisum sativum (pea) long non-coding RNA (PSAT_LNC029003)". The record is from RNAcentral. Lineage: Eukaryota; Viridiplantae; Streptophyta; Magnoliopsida; Fabales; Fabaceae.
AUUUAUAUGAUAAGAAUGAAAAACAUCUUGAAUACAUUAUCAAAGAAACCUGUAAGAAAGAAAGAGAGAUUCAGAUAAGUGAAAUAUAAGAAUGGAAAAUAAAUGAAGAAAUGAUGAUAAUAAGGAAAGGAAAUUGGAAGUGUGUUGUGGUGAUUAAUUUGUGUAGUCUCUUAUUAAUGAAGAUUCGAGAAAAGCUUCGAAGAGAAGAAGAUGAUAGGCGAAAGAAUGAUGGGAAACGUGAUAUGGUAAUGG